This 467-nucleotide ribosomal RNA is filed under the name uncultured bacterium. RNAcentral's name for it is "partial 16S ribosomal RNA". It matches the Rfam family "Bacterial small subunit ribosomal RNA", at positions 28 to 507 of the family's 1533-position model. The record is from RNAcentral.
GACGAACGCUGGCGGCGUGCUUAACACAUGCAAGUCGAACGGAAAGGCCUCUUUCGGGGGGUACUCGAGUGGCGAACGGGUGAGUAACACGUGAGUAACCUGCCCUUGACUUUGGGAUAACUUCAGGAAACUGGGGCUAAUACCGGACAGGAGCUCCUGCUGCAUGGUGGGGGUUGGAAAGUUUCGGCGGUUGGGGAUGGACUCGCGGCGUAUCAGCUUGUUGGUGGGGUAGUGGCUUACCAAGGCUUUGACGGGUAGCCGGCCUGAGAGGGUGACCGGCGACAUUGAGACUGAGAGACGGCCCAGACUCCUACGGGAGGGAGCAGUGGGGAAGAUUGCACAAUGGGUGGAAGCCUGAUGCAGCAACGCCGUGUGCGGGAUGACGGCCUUCGGGUUGUAAACCGCUUUCGCUCAUGACGAAGCUUUGUGUGACGGUAGUGGGUAAAGAAGCACCGGCUAACUACGUG